This 157-nucleotide ribosomal RNA is filed under the name uncultured Cortinarius. RNAcentral describes it as "5.8S ribosomal RNA". It matches the Rfam family "5.8S ribosomal RNA". Rfam says of the family: 5.8S ribosomal RNA (5.8S rRNA) is a component of the large subunit of the eukaryotic ribosome. It is transcribed by RNA polymerase I as part of the 45S precursor that also contains 18S and 28S rRNA. Lineage: Eukaryota; Fungi; Basidiomycota; Agaricomycetes; Agaricales; Cortinariaceae. The record is from RNAcentral.
CAACUUUCAGCAAUGGAUCUCUUGGCUCUCGCAUCGAUGAAGAACGCAGCGAAAUGCGAUAAGUAAUGUGAAUUGCAGAAUUCAGUGAAUCAUCGAAUCUUUGAACGCACCUUGCGCUCCUUGGUAUUCUGAGGAGCAUGCCUGUUUGAGUGUCAUU